UGAACGUCUUCUGCGAGCUUCCUCUUCAUUCCCAUUUCACCGAAGAGCCAAACUGAGGUCAGUUUAGGCCAGCAAGUGACCUGCCCGAGGGCGACUCGGUGGUGGCAGGGAUUAAAUUGGCGAUAUACAGAGAACCCUGAGCACGGUACCUGACGCACCGCAAACAUUCAAUAAACAGUAGCUUUUUAAAAAGAUCUUCAAUUGUCCUGGUCGAACCCUGAGAGUACUGCGCAGUCGUUAGCUCACUAACCACUAGCGACUGGUGUGCAGGGAGUCUGUCUGAUUGCUCCACGACAAGCAGGCCCACGUAUCCCGUGAUUGAUGCCAUCUCAGAACCACAGGCAAAGCCUAAGCUCAUAGAGGAGCCAGAAAAAAAGCCAAGCCACCGCCUGGAUGGAGAUCGCUUCCUGAGGCCCAGCAGAUUUCUGCAGGAAGCCAGGCUAAGCUGGCAUCCUGCUCUCUGCCGUGGCCCGGCCGCGCUCACUGUCUGGCCCAUCCCGCAAUGAUCCAUAGUCGUGGGCCUUUCCCAAGCCUCUGAGGCCUGCCGGGCUCGGCCUUCAGCCAUCUCGUCUCGAGGAGCUGUGUCUCUCAUUAACAACCUCCCCAGAUGAAGGAGAAACAGACUAGAGGCUAAAGAACCGUGCAGGUGUUUUGAACUUAUAGAAAGGUAAGAGUGUCCCCUUGCUGCCACCUCCGUGUGUCCUUGUUCCUUAUGCCCCCCCAAAGAACUCAAAUCCAUCCCAGUUCGCUGCAGUCAGAAUGAAUUCAGCUCUCUCUGAGCUUCUUUAACUUUGUGGUAAAAAUGAUGUGUCUGCUAAACGUCCGCCAUCUCCCCCAUUAGGCUCUAGGCUUCUAGGAGACCGGAUGCAGGUCACAGGCACCCUGUCCCCUCCCGGCAUCGACUCUACAGCCCACACUCAAACGGCGUUUGAAAAGAUAAUUUUAAUAGGAAAGCAUGGAGGAAAGCAGGCAGGCGAACCUAUUCCGUGGCCCAGGCUGAGAAUAUUGGGUUUGACUAUGAUCACAGAGGAUUACAAGAAUUAAUUUUAUUUUAUCUAAUAUUCUUAGACUUAGGGCCUCUGGAAUUCAGCAUGCAAAUGUAUGCUCCUAGUGCAAAUUGGAGCAUGCCCAGAUUAAUGGAGAAAAUUCUAGCCGCCUCACUUUUUGCAGAAUCCCAUUUCCCUCACCUGGGAUCACCCGUUUGUUUGCAAUGCACUGAGAAGUGGAUUGCAAUAGAGGAAGGAACGCUGGGUGGACGCAUCUGCCCGGGGUCUCUUUGGUGCUAGACGGGUCGAAGACCGAUGCUAAGCUCGGGACGGCACCCCUCCAAGGAACGUGGGGUCCUCUGAACAGGACCCACGGGAGAGCUAAACUGCUGAUCUGGUCCCAGGGCGGUCCUCCUUGGUAUGCAGAUCACUUCACAUGUAUGACAUUAGUUUGUUCUGUCCUCACGCUCCCGGAUUUAAUGAGAUUCUUUGGGCAUUGUUAAUAAACAAUGCCUGACCUUUC
Long non-coding RNA from Leopardus geoffroyi (Geoffroy's cat), 1509 nucleotides. RefSeq lists it as uncharacterized. Lineage: Eukaryota; Metazoa; Chordata; Mammalia; Carnivora; Felidae. The transcript is spliced from 2 exons. The record is from RefSeq and is a predicted model, not a curated record.